This 417-nucleotide ribosomal RNA is filed under the name uncultured bacterium. RNAcentral describes it as "bacterial SSU rRNA". It matches the Rfam family "Bacterial small subunit ribosomal RNA", at positions 9 to 426 of the family's 1533-position model. The record is from RNAcentral.
GAGUUUGAUCCUGGCUCAGAUUGAACGCUGGCGGCAGGCCUAACACAUGCAAGUCGAGCGGUAGAGAGAAGCUUGCUUCUCUUGAGAGCGGCGGACGGGUAAGUAAUGCCUAGGAAUCUGCCUGGUAGUGGGGGGAUAACGCUCGGAAACGGACGCUAAUACCGCAUACGUCCUACGGGAGAAAGCAGGGGACCUUCGGGCCUUGCGCUAUCAGAUGAGCCUAGGUCGGAUUAGCUAGUUGGUGAGGUAAUGGCUCACCAAGGCGACGAUCCGUAACUGGUCUGAGAGGAUGAUCAGUCACACUGGAACUGAGACACGGUCCAGACUCCUACGGGAGGCAGCAGUGGGGAAUAUUGGUACAAUGGGCGAAAGCCUGAUCCAGCCAUGCCGCGUGUGUGAAGAAGGUCUUCGGAUUGU